UUCCGUAUGCAAGGUGACCUCAGUGUGACCCAUCUCGUAAAAAUCCGGUGACCACAAUACGCAUGGAUGUCCUUAAAAUAAACUAUUAUCUGAAUUUACAUGUUAAACACGUGCUCAAUUUCCAUGCUUUUUUGUUUAUUUUUCGUCAAUUGUUGACAAACAGGUGACAAUCGUUAAACUUCGGCUUCAAAACACGAACUUUAAUUACCUGCCAUAUUUUCACAACAACACUGACCGAAGUGAGAAAAAAAUUGACAAUUAUACGAAAUUUACACGAAAAAAUGAUAAAUUCGAG
Molecule: long non-coding RNA, 295 nt
Filed under: Mytilus galloprovincialis (Mediterranean mussel)
Lineage: Eukaryota; Metazoa; Mollusca; Bivalvia; Mytilida; Mytilidae
Source: RNAcentral